CCUACGGGAGGCAGCAGUGAGGAAUAUUGGUCAAUGGGCGCUAGCCUGAACCAGCCAAGUCGCGUGAAGGAUGACUGCCCUAUGGGUUGUAAACUUCUUUUAUAUGGGAAUAAAGUGCAGUAUGUAUACUGCUUUGCAUGUACCUUAUGAAUAAGGAUCGGCUAACUCCGUUCCAGAACCCGCGGUAAUACGGAGGAUCCGAGCGUUAUCCGGAUUUAUUGGGUUUAAAGGGAGCGUAGGCGGGUUGUUAAGUUAGUUGUGAAAGUUUGUGGCUCAACCGUAAAAUUGCAGUUGAUACUGGCAUCCUUGAGUACAGUAGAGGUAGGCGGAAUUCGUGGUGUAGCGGUGAAAUGCUUAGAUAUCACGAAGAACUCCGAUUGCGAAGGCAGCCUGCUGGACUGUAACUGACGCUGAUGCUCGAAAGUGUGGGUAGCAAACAGGAUUAGAUACCCGGGUAGUC
Molecule: ribosomal RNA, 460 nt
Filed under: uncultured bacterium
Lineage: Bacteria
Description: partial 16S ribosomal RNA
Rfam family: Bacterial small subunit ribosomal RNA
Source: RNAcentral